CACCUACCAGUUGCCUCCCUAGAUCCUCGAUUGACGCCGCUUCCUCUCCGCCAGUCGCCGGACCACCUCCUCAGCAACACCGAACCACUAGAUAUUUAUGUGCGGGUGGUGGUUGUGCCCGGAUCUUUAUUUGCGGCGCCCUUUUCAUACUAAUGCGUCUUCUCGCCUUGAUAGUUUACUGGAGGCAAAAGCCAAGCAAGGGGUUCAGAUUUAUAUCCUGAUGUACAAAGAGCUCGCUCUUGCUCUGAAAAUUAAUAGUUUUUAUAGUAAGAAAAAGCUCGCUGCACUUCACGAGAAUAUAAGAGUUCUACGUCAUCCGGAUCAUUUCUCUAGUGGUGUCUUUCUAUGGUUAGAACAGGUGGUUCUGUUGCUAACAAGGAAAUUCUGGGAUUUGCAAAGUUAUUCAAUGACGAACUUACCCUUGAUAAUAUCAGCAGGCCUCGUUUAGUGAAUAUAUGCGAGUAUAUGGGGAUCCAACCUUACGGAAUAGACACACACUUGCGAUACAUGCUGCACAAAAUAUUACAAUGGUGUCUUUUUUGUUAUCAUUUAAAUAGUUGUUAAAAUGUUUGUACAUCAAUACUUAAUAGGUGAAUUUUUGCCUUCAUCAUAAAGCAAUCUUAUUUUGCCCUAUGUAACGGAAAUUUUAUGUAUGUUCUUUUUUUAAUAUACUUUCAUAAUGCAUUGUCCGAAUCUUUAAAUAUUGAGUUAUUUUAUGAUACUGACUUAAAAAGCCUGAGGCGCAGUAUGUAUGUGCAUACAUACUACAUCUUAAUCUCAUCCGAAUUUUAGGAAACUUCGGCAAAUAGCGGCUGAACCAGAAGCACACGGUUAGCCCUUUAUCUGCUCACUUAGUCAUUGCUCCGUGUAAGUUUUUUUGAACUUAGAAAGUUUCAUUGAUUAUUUAUUUGGUUGUAAACUUUUGUUUCUUGUGUGUUCAAUUUUGUUUAAAGUUAUUAUUGAGAUUAUCUCUCUAUGAAAAUGUUUUUAAAAAGAAAAGUGUAUGCCCUCCAGCACCAGCUGUUCGAGGGUAUAAUCUUUCAUGCUUUGCUAAAUCCAUAAACCGUUUAUUAGCCAUUUUUGAACUUGUUAUUGUAAUCGUACAAUGAUAUGGAACCUGUAAUGCUCAUGUUGAAAGUAGUUAGGAAAUUACCUUAGUCAAAAGCUCAAAGGUUGGUAGAUUACCUGCUUGGACCAUACAUUGAAGUUCGGUUAUUGCUAGCUGUGUUGGAGCUCGUGAUGCUCACACUCCAAAUCAAUUAGCUGUUAUGUUUAACAUAUUUUAUUCUUUUUUCUUUUUUAACCAUGGUCAUGCUCGCAUAGGACAAAAGUGGUGUAGCUCUUGUAGCUCAAGAGAAAGUUACAAAACCAAAAGUGGUGUAGCUCUUGUACUAAUUAUAUUUUAGGUUUUUUUUUUCAUCUUAAAUUAAGCAACUGCUAAUAUUUGAUGCUUUGAUAGAAUUUGGUUAUUACACAUGUUAAGAAGGAACUUGGUCUUGCAUUCAAGGGUAGUCAAAAGAUGGUGACUGAAGCACCAGAGGGAUCAGGAUAAGAAAGUGUGAUGUUUGGACUUGAAAUCUCUACUCACACUUCCUGUCGAUUAGUUGCCAAGGGGGGCCUUGGAGCGUGUUUUCAAGGCAACACAUGAGUAGCUUGUCGCCUACAAGGAUCAAGUAGGAUGUGUUAUUUUUGUAUUUUGUUCGUUCAGUGAGUCUUUUUUAGCUUUUUGUGCCCUCAUUUGGCAGUUAAUUAUAUGAAUAAAUCAAGUAUUUGACACUCGUUCAUUGGAACUUGAAUUAUCUAUGAAUUUUGAUGUAUGGUGAAUUUAAAACA
This is a long non-coding RNA of Helianthus annuus (common sunflower), 1833 nucleotides long. RefSeq lists it as uncharacterized. Lineage: Eukaryota; Viridiplantae; Streptophyta; Magnoliopsida; Asterales; Asteraceae. The transcript is spliced from 6 exons. The record is from RefSeq and is a predicted model, not a curated record.